GGGGAAUAUUGGACAAUGGGCGCAAGCCUGAUCCAGCCAUGCUGCGUGAGUGAUGAAGGCCUUAGGGUUGUAAAGCUCUUUCACUGGGGAAGAUAAUGACGGUACCCAGAGAAGAAGCCCCGGCUAACUUCGUGCCAGCAGCCGCGGUAAUACGAAGGGGGCUAGCGUUGUUCGGAAUUACUGGGCGUAAAGCGCACGUAGGCGGACUGUUAAGUUAGGGGUGAAAUCCCAGGGCUCAACCCUGGAAUUGCCUUUGAUACUGGCAGUCUCGAGGCCGAGAGAGGUGAGUGGAACUCCGAGUGUAGAGGUGAAAUUCGUAGAUAUUCGGAAGAACACCAGUGGCGAAGGCGGCUCACUGGCUCGGUACUGACGCUGAGGAGCGAAAGCGUGGGGAGCAAAC
Molecule: ribosomal RNA, 400 nt
Filed under: uncultured bacterium
Lineage: Bacteria
Description: bacterial SSU rRNA
Rfam family: Bacterial small subunit ribosomal RNA
Source: RNAcentral